RNAcentral lists this ribosomal RNA (722 nucleotides) under uncultured Laccaria. RNAcentral's name for it is "eukaryotic LSU rRNA". The stretch from base 309 to 462 matches the Rfam family "5.8S ribosomal RNA". The record is from RNAcentral. Lineage: Eukaryota; Fungi; Basidiomycota; Agaricomycetes; Agaricales; Tricholomataceae.
UCUUGGUCAUUUAGAGGAAGUAAAAGUCGUAACAAGGUUUCCGUAGGUGAACCUGCGGAAGGAUCAUUAUUGAAUAAACCUGAUGUGGCUGUUAGCUGGCUUUUCGAAGCAUGUGCUCGUCCAUCAUCUUUAUCUCUCCACCUGUGCACAUUUUGUAGUCUUGGAUACCUCUCGAGGCAACUCGGAUUUUAGGAUCGCUGUGCUGUACAAGUCGGCUUUCCUUUCAUUUCCAAGACUAUGUUUUUAUAUACACCAAAGUAUGUUUAAAGAAUGUCAUCAAUGGGAACUUGUUUCCUAUAAAAUUAUACAACUUUCAGCAACGGAUCUCUUGGCUCUCGCAUCGAUGAAGAACGCAGCGAAAUGCGAUAAGUAAUGUGAAUUGCAGAAUUCAGUGAAUCAUCGAAUCUUUGAACGCACCUUGCGCUCCUUGGUAUUCCGAGGAGCAUGCCUGUUUGAGUGUCAUUAAAUUCUCAACCUUCCAGCUUUUAUUAGCUUGGUUAGGCUUGGAUGUGGGGGUUGUGGGCUUCAUUAAUGAGGUCGGCUCUCCUUAAAUGCAUUAGCGGAACUUUUGUGGACCGUCUAUUGGUGUGAUAAUUAUCUACGCCGUGGAUGUGAAGCAGCUUUAUGAAGUUCAGCUUCUAACCGUCCAUUGACUUGGACAAUUUUGACAAUUUGACCUCAAAUCAGGUAGGACUACCCGCUGAACUUAAGCAUAUCAAUAA